This 3055-nucleotide long non-coding RNA is filed under the name Capra hircus (goat). RNAcentral's name for it is "lncRNA (ENSCHIG00000001417.1)". The record is from RNAcentral. Lineage: Eukaryota; Metazoa; Chordata; Mammalia; Artiodactyla; Bovidae.
AUGGUGAGCUCACAGAAAGCACCAGAUGGAAACUCUAAAAUGCAAUUUGCAGCCUUGAGACCCUUGAGAUCCUUAAGAGAGCUAUAUUGGCCGGAGAAGCAAGAAACCAAAGGAAGCAACUUGAAAGAUGCAAAAAUGGCAGGCAGUGCUGGGUGCUCCCAGCUGCCUUCCCUGGGCAGGGCCAGGCCACGGAGUGAGAGAAUCCAUUCCCACCAGGCACCUCCCAGCCUGGCAAAUGAUUACUCUCUGAAUGAUUCUGGCUUCACCCAGCUGCUUGGAAAGGAGCUUGCAGGAAGGAAAGAGUACGUUCCCCCAUCCUGGGAAACAGUGCUGACUUCCUGGCCAUCUCCAGUGCUAAAAAGACUCUGUGUGGCUGUGGAAAGACAAUCAUGUUUUCACCUGCAAGCCAAGACCCUGGAAAACACGCACAUCUAUGACUCAAAUCAAGUUACAGUAACAGCCCCAUGCUCCUGACUGCAUGAGGAUGACUGGUGAAUACAGAUGAAUGCAAGGACCUGGAUUAUCUACAGAAUACAGGGAUACCCACACCCACCACCCCUAGACAAUUAUAGACUCAGGCUUUAGGGAUAUUAACUCAGGAACAGGCUCGUGAAUUGGGUGUUGCCAGUUAGCCGGGAGGGUUUGAUAGGGGCCCGAGGCAACAGCAAAAUGAAAAGAAUACCCUGGUGCCUCUAGUCCCAGCUGCGGAAGGGUGCAGAGCAACAACGCAGAGGGAUGAAUAGAUGGAACAGCGGCUAUGUGCAGUCUAUGGUGCUUUCCACCAGGUGGAAGACUUUCCAGAAAGCCUGCCUGAGUCCUCGAGCGAUUCACAAAAAACCCACUUGCUGUGAAGUUCAAGAAUUGACUGACAAAAACAACACACGCUGGCCUUUCCACCUGCCCUUCAUCCCUACUACUGCUGGGCUAAUUGAAAGGAUGAACGGAUGACUUAAACAACAGUUGAGAUGGAAACCUGCUUUCUCCACGCGGGGACUAACUUAAGCCCUGAGAACUAUAUAACUGAACAUCCCAGGAGCAGUCAUCUCUAAUCAUCUCUAACCCUAUGCUGUAUGAACCCAGAGGCAAGUAGGCAACACAACCUGAUUUCAGCUGUGGACCACUCCCGGUCAGGACAAUAGCUCACUUCUGCCCUUGUCACAGAAUCUACCCCAGUGGAAAGCACUGUAAGAUGGGACUGGAUGGUACGUCCCCGGUGGCUCGAGUUUGCUGCCCCAUGGGAAACAGAAUUAGAGAAGGAUUUGCAAAUUUCACCGGGGCCUCUACCUGGCCCCUCCUAAGGCCUCUAAGGUAACCAAUCUGGGCCCCCCACUGGAGAAAGGCACCAUCACAUGAACCCUGUGGGCUGUUGUUAAACCGCCUCCCCAGUACUGGGCACCGAUGGUGGGGAUGGAUGGUGGACAGGUGGAAUCGUCCUGCAGGGCAGGGGGAAAGUCACAGGCAGGGUUGCUAUGAUCUCAGAAUGCUGUUCCUGCUUGCAUUUUGCCUAGCGGUCAUGAUCUUCCCUGUACUGUGCCUGUUCAUCACUUUAUGUUUCUUCCUUAGUCUGUACAGAGGGAAUCUGCUUGUGGACUGGGCGACGACAGUGGCCUCCCUGAGAAAUGGGCUUGAUUGCUGGGUUGACAGCAAGGUACUGCUAUCAUCCUUUGGACUUCCAUGAAAGGGUGAUCCAGUAAAGCAUCUGGCUCCAAAGUCUACCCACCUGUUGGACUCUUGAUACUCUCGCUGCUGUUGUCUGUACUUCAUUUGUGGUAUUUGGCUGGAGGGCACCUCUACAUACGUGAUCCCAGGGCUAUCAAGGAUGAGGGGCAGACCAAGAUCAUAAGGGUUAUGCAGAGUAUGAGUAGGGGCGGACUGUGGUCAGGCCACUCAGAUGACGGUUCUCUUGACUUUCUACAUCACCUUCUCCACCAAUCCCUGCCUCACCUACAAAGCCUUGCUUGCACUGAUCAGGUGGGUGGCCCCCCUCGAUCAUAUGCACACCCCCCUUGUUCACCUGCACACCCCCUUUUGUUCACGAGCCCCAUCUUGGGUCACAGGCAUGGUUCCCCCUUGAUCAUGUACACACCUCUCUUGAUCACAGUGUCCACCCCCUAAAUAUCCCAAGUGUUCACCAUGGCUGGCAUUCUGUGUGCCCUCAAGGGAACAUGUUAUAGAUUCAGAUCUUGGGCCUACAGCUGCUCUGACAUCUGGUACAUCAAUUCAGUUCAGUUCAGUCGCUCAGCUGUGCCCGACUCUUUGCAACCCCAUGAACCGCAACACACCAGGCCUCUCUGUCCAUCACCAACUCCCGGAGUUUAUCCAAACUCAUGUCCAUUGAGGCAGUGAUGCCAUCUAACCAUCUCAUCCUCUGUCAUCCCCUUCUCCUCCUGCCUUCAAUCUUUCCCAACAUCAAGGUCUUUUCAAAUGAGUCAGCUCUUCUCAUCAGGUGGCCAAAAUAUUGGAGUUUCAGCUUCAACAUCAGUCCUUCCAAUGAACACCCAGGACUGAUUUCUUUUAGGAUGGACUGGUUGGAUCUCCUUGCAGUCCAAGGGACUCUCAAGAGUCUUCUCCAACACCACAGUUCAAAAGCAUCAAUUCUUCUGCUCUCAGCUUUCUUCAUAGUUCAACUCUCACAAGGUGGGAUUUAUUUCUUGGGAUCCAAAGGAGCACUAACCAGGGUCAUUCCUCCAGCCCUUGUCCAGUCCACCUCUUACCGGCAGGAAGUACCCAGAGUUGACCUAGCCCUUUUCCUUCCAGAUGAAAGAAUGACCCAAAGAUGAGGGGCUGAACCAAAGGGUUAAACCCACUCCACUUGCCCUCAGGAAUUAAAGUCGUGAAGACUUUGGGUUCUCCAAUCAGCACAGAGCCUAACUAAUAAGCUCUUUCCCAGAGGAAUUACUUUCUAGGAACUUGGAGCCUCAGCUGUGUCUAGCUGGGGCUCAGCAGGUGAGGCUGAAUAGAACCCUGGACGCCUGCACUAGGCCUGUGCUCUUUGCUGGCGGGUCUGUUGUGAACGUUUAGGGACCUGGAGCCUGCGCAGAAGGGCACUUCCCCC